Molecule: long non-coding RNA, 477 nt
Organism: Drosophila virilis
Lineage: Eukaryota; Metazoa; Arthropoda; Insecta; Diptera; Drosophilidae
Source: RefSeq, a predicted model, not a curated record
CACUUGCACAGCAAUUGCGAUGAAAUUGAAUUUGCCGCAGCAGCAAAUGGAUUUUAAAUAAAUUUCUUUUUGCAAUGCCUGUUUGGCGCGCUGGUGUGCAUUCAAUUUAAGAGGCAUUUAACACUCAACAAUUGAUAAAACAUAAAAUAAAAGAAGGUACACAGCAUAAAAAUGAAAUACCAGGCGACAAACUGGUUUCUGCUGUGGUACCCACGCAUCUGCAGCAACAACAACAACAACAGCCACAAAGAGCAGGCCGACAAAUUCUUGAACAUUUCCGCCAAGCGAUCGGACAAGUGCGAGCGAGAGAGCACGUUAUGUGUGAGCGGUGUAACAUGUAAACAAGCUGCUGCGCAAGGUUGCCAGAGCGACGGCGCACGGCGCUUUGUUUUAUUUUGCAGAUUAUUUCAAGUUGAAAACAAUAUACUUGUAGAAAAAUAAAUAACACAUUUAUCCAGCUAUUAAGCUACACAUUAA